AUACGGAGGGUCCGAGCGUUAAUCGGAAUUACUGGGCGUAAAGCGCGCGUAGGCGGCUUGAUAAGUCGGAUGUGAAAUCCCCGGGCUUAACCUGGGAAUUGCAUUCGAUACUGUCAGGCUAGAGUGUGGUAGAGGGAAGUGGAAUUUCCGGUGUAGCGGUGAAAUGCGUAGAUAUCGGAAAGAACAUCAGUGGCGAAGGCGGCUUCCUGGAUCAACACUGACGCUGAGGUGCGAAAGCGUGGGGAGCAAACAGGAUUAGAAACCCCAGUAGUCC
RNAcentral lists this ribosomal RNA (274 nucleotides) under uncultured bacterium. RNAcentral describes it as "partial 16S ribosomal RNA". It matches the Rfam family "Bacterial small subunit ribosomal RNA", at positions 523 to 796 of the family's 1533-position model. The record is from RNAcentral.